RNAcentral lists this ribosomal RNA (350 nucleotides) under uncultured bacterium. RNAcentral's name for it is "bacterial SSU rRNA". It matches the Rfam family "Bacterial small subunit ribosomal RNA", at positions 163 to 507 of the family's 1533-position model. The record is from RNAcentral.
CUAAUACCGCAUAUUCUGUGAGCAGGAAAGCAGGGGAUCGCAAGACCUUGCGCUCUUUGAGCGGCCGAUGUCAGAUUAGCUAGUUGGUGAGGUAACGGCUUACCAAGGCGACGAUCUGUAGCGGGUCUGAGAGGAUGAUCCGCCACACUGGAACUGAGACACGGUCCAGACUCCUACGGGAGGCAGCAGUGGGGAAUUUUGGACAAUGGGGGCAACCCUGAUCCAGCCAUGCCGCGUGAGUGAAGAAGGUCCUUCGGGUUGUAAAGCUCUUUCGGCCGGGAAGAAAUCGCAUGGGUUAAUACCCUGUGUGGAUGACGGUACCGGCAUAAGAAGCACCGGCUAACUACGUG